RNAcentral lists this long non-coding RNA (4828 nucleotides) under Solanum tuberosum (potato). Its description in RNAcentral is "long non-coding RNA (STUB_LNC008014)". Lineage: Eukaryota; Viridiplantae; Streptophyta; Magnoliopsida; Solanales; Solanaceae. The record is from RNAcentral.
CACAACCAUACUAUUCUCGUAAAGAACUACUAGUCUACUCAUAACAAGCAUUGUUUUCCUAUAAGUUUUUGGAGAAGAGAGAUUGUGUAUGACCUCUGCGGGAAUCAAUUGUUCAUCAUAGAGUUUCUUCUCAAGGUAAGAUUCGAAAUUUAACUUAUUCAUUCAUUAAUUUUUGUUCAAAUUAAUAGGGGUAUGAUUACACUUGUGUGUAUAUGGAUGUUGACGUUUCUUUUGGGAUGUUGGUGCUCAAGAAUUUGUGGUAUUGUUGAUUACAAUUAUCCUAAUUUAGGGUUUUGGAAUUUGGGCUUAAGAAACAAUAGUUUGUGGCAUGAUCGAUUUCAGUGUGCAAUCCAUUUGUGGUAUUCUCUUAUUUUCUCCUUCUUUAUAAAGUGAUAUUUGGUUUUCUUUAUGUGGAGUUUCAAAAAUUAAAUCUUUCUCCAAUUCACUUUUCAAAAAUUUAGAUCCUUAGAGGAAUAGAAAAAUUGCUUGAAAAUUCGAUGGUCAUUCUGGUGGUGGAAACUUACUUGUGAUUUGUGAUUUGCAAUUUUUUGGAUUUUAUGGCCUAAAGUUAUCUUUUGAGUUUAAGGUAUCUAAUUUAUGUUCGUGUUUUGGCUUCACUGAAUCACUAUGUUUCGAGUUCACAACUUGUUGGGAAAGGUGACAUUUUAAACUUUUAUUUAAUUUGUGUUGUCUCUUUUAGAGAAUUGUUGUCCAGUUCUUAUGAAAAAGGUGAAUCACUGCCUAUUGAAAUGAUAAGUGUAAUGAUGCAAAUGUCGUAAGAGGUUUAGUUUGUUGCUGAUGAAAAAUUAAUUUGAUUUAUUCAUUAUAACAAUUAACAACAAAGUCUUGGUGGAGCUAGCAAUAUUAAAAGAAAUGUAUGAAAUUAAACAAAGAGAAAAAGAACAAAAAACAAAAUUAGUAAACGAGAUAGUCAAAUUUAAAGAAAAAUUGCAAUUACAAGAUGAAUUAGAAGAAAAAGAAGAAAAUAGCCAAGAUAAUCUACCCGAAAUAAGAAUUGAUGAAAUAAACGACGAUGAUCUAGAACAACAUUCGGAAACAAGCGAAACAUAUACGGAAAUUUUAGCAAACAUAGAUAAUACAUGAUGCAAAUGUCGUAAGAGGUUUAGUUUGUUGCUGAUGAAAAAUUAAUUUGAUUUAUUCAUUAUAACAAUUAACAACAAAGUCUUGGUGGAGCUAGCAAUAUUAAAAGAAAUGUAUGAAAUUAAACAAAAAGAAAAAGAGCAAAAAACAAAAUUAGUAAAUGAGAUAGUCAAAUUUAAAGAAAAAUUGCAAUUACAAGAUGAAUUAGAAGAAAAAGAAGAAAAUAGCCAAGAUAAUCUACCCGAAAUAAGAAUUGAUGAAAUAAACGACGAUGAUCUAGAACAACAUUCAGAAACAAGCGAAACAUAUACGGAACUUUUAGCAAACAUAGAUAAUACAAAGGAUCCUUUAUUGUCCACACAAUUUGCAACUAAAUCUUCUAGAUAUACAUAGUUUUUUUGCUAAGUAUUCCACCUUUUAAGAAAGAUUAGAGUUGGCAAAAUUGAGAUCUUUUACUUUACUAUGAAUCAGCUCAAGACAAUUUGUUCUAAUUUUGAAGUAUUAAGUUAACUGAAAACAAGAAACAACUGAACAUAUGGGGGCAACGAGGCUGAUUAUAUUUGACUAACUAGCAAAUUUUUUAUAUAAUUUAUCUUUUUAAACACUACAUAUGAUAUGGGCCUAGAAUAUCUUUACUAUCUUUGUAUUGUAUAACACAAUAGCUUCACCUGACAUCUUGGUUUCACCUAUGGGUGUCACCAAAUGUGCACCAAUACUUCUUAUGGUAGUCGACAAUAUUCUGAUCUCAACAUUUCUUUUCGAGUUGUUGAGUACUGCCAAACAAAAGAACAUGUAACUUGUAGUUUCUGUUUACUGAGUCGUUCAUGCAGCCAUGGUGCCACCAUAGGGAAUGCCUUAUCCAAUUAUCUACCCCUUAGGGAAUUGUUAUGAUAAUCAUGUUCCUCUUUUGUAAGUUUCCUUUCUAUUGUUGUUUUUGUUAAUGGAUUUGAUAAUUUUUCUUCACUUUGGUCUUUUAUUUUUUUUAGUGUAUAUAGUUUAUAUCUUAAGAUUUGCAUUGAUUAGUAAGAAAAAAAAUAUAUCUUUGUUUUAAAAUUUGUCUUGUGACAGCCUUGAGUUUUCUUGGUUGGCCAAAAUUUACCCUGAUUUCAUGCUCAUUGAUUGGUUCAAUCUUUUCAGUUUAAGAGGGUCGUCAUGAUUUAUGCUUCCCUUAAACAAUGGACUCAACUUUAGUAUUUGAGUAAUUUAUGUUAAGUUUGUAUCUAAUUAAUUGAUUUACUCGACUUUACGGAAAUAUUUUAGUAGCUAACAGAUUCUAUGUUAUAGCUUGAUUUGAAAUCAUGUGAUAGACUUGGUACUUGUCUAUUUUUGGUAAAUUUUGAUAGAUUUUAGCUUAGUAAUCUUUUUUUUAUCCGAUGUCCCCGAAAGGACUUUUAGAUUAGUAAUAUAAUUUGCUGAAUUUAAGAAUUUUUGGUACUCCGUGAUAGAUGUUUUGCUUACUGUCUUGGGCUGAUUCUUUCUACUAUAAAAAAAAACUCCUUUCCUCUUUCCUUGGCAUGAUCACUGAACUACUAGACAACCCCUGGAGCUCUCUCCUCUUUACUGAUAACACAAAGCUCUCCUCCUUUUCUUUAAUUAUUUAAAAAAGGCAUCAUUUUUCUUUUGAAUCAUGGAUCACUGGGAAAUCCCUUCACGCUUCUCUCCUUUUUCUUUGAUAUUCUUUGAUAAAUAGAAGUUCUUGACAGAGAGAACACACUUUCAUUAUCCCAUUCACAUCAUUUUAAAACUUUCAUAUUUUAAAUUAAAAACUAUACUUAAUUUCUUUUUUUAUGGCCCUGUUCUCAACUAACUAGGAAGAUUUGGUUACUUUGUCUUUUUACCUUCCUUGAUGAGCACUGCUCACAAUCUGUAUAAUUCUUGUGAUCUUGAUGUGUCGAGAUUGAAUUGUGCUUGCUUGAACUGAUGUGUAUCAAGUGUUAUUGUUCUCCUGUUCUUCUUGAAAGACUGUUUCUUCUUGAUCGGUUAGUUUCCAUCGAAGUAAUUUCAAUUCUUAAUAUGAUAGUUUGUUGUAUUUUCAUUAACUAUACAGGUUGGAAAGCUUGAAUUCAUUAGGCAUUCUAUGAAAGCAUACAUGUACGUAUUCCUGAUCCUAUAUGUGCCCCCAUGACCUUGAACUUGAUGAUAUUUGUAAGCUGAAUGGAUCUUUGAAUCUCAUAUUGUGUAAUGUGACACUAGGAUAUUUGUCUAAAGUGUUAAACUUGUGCCUACUAUUUAGAGUAUGUUUAUAUAGGAUGUCAAGCUACUACCUCUUGCCUGAGAGUGUAUUUUGGGUGCAUGGUUUUUUUCAUCAAGAACUUAAUUAGUUUAACACUAUUAAGAAUGUUGGCUCAUAGCAUUCAUUAGGACUUGACCUAUUGUCUUCUCCUUUAUUGAUAUGUUUUAUGAAGACUAAGUGAUGUAUUUCAAUACAUAGAAAUUAUAAAAAAUAUAUUUUUCAUUUAUCUACCAGUGCCAUGUCUCUCUUGCAUUGGCUAUAAGUCCUUUUGAAGCUAUGCGUACUCAAAUAUACCUUAAGAUUUGUUUGGUUUUGCCUCAAUUAAGGAUCAUGUAAUAAACGAGUGUUUUGGCUAAACUUAAUAAAUACUAGACAUCAGAUAUUUUGUUACUUCUCUAUCUUCUCAGUUGGUUUCUAAAUACCUAUGUUAAAAUGUGCAUAUGCAUUCAUCUCCAAAGGCAUGUUUGCUUUAGUUCUUGACCCUUAUGCCUAAGUCGUAGGUAUCACUAUAUUGAUAUUGCCAUUAAUAAACCUUUGCUUGAAUAUAUAUAUAUAUACAAUGUUUUAUAGUUUAAUAUAUUUGUCUUAUCUUGUCUGAUCUUUGUAUGUUGGCAUCGAGUAUAUUGGUGUGUGUGUGUUUCUUUGGUGUCUAUAGGAGACUAGUUCGACAUUGGGAUGGGUUGAAGAGCUGCUUAGGAUUUGAAAAAAUGGGGUGCAACACUAGUUCAACUAAGACAGUAUAAUACUGACUAGAGUUAAGGUGUGUGAUAUAAUCAAUCUUUUCUUGUUGCCUAGUGUAUUUUGAUUAUUAGACUUUUUUUUUCUUCUUGAAACAUGCUUUGUUAAAUAAUUGGACUUUAUAUUCAUGUAUUGUGUUGUGAAUAAUAUUAUAGAAGGUGUAUUUUAUGUUGUUGUGUAAUUAAGUGUAAACUUGUUUGAACAGUGAGUUUGUCUACUUUGGAGUUUCCCAAUUCGUGUGAGAUUCUUGACAAAAGAAUCUGCCCCUCUUAUAAUUACUUGUUUUUUAUAUAAAAAAAAAGUUAUCUAUAAGAGAAAUACAAUCUUUUAAGGAUAAUUUCUGAUUUCUAGUCUUUAUUGACUAAUGAUAAUUUAUUGACAGUGCAGGUCAAGAAGGACAAUCUCCAUAAGAUAAACAAGUCUGAUAGUAUCAAGUUCAUCGUCAUUUCUUCAAUUGUUGGUUGUUGAUGGAUUAAAACGUAUCACUGUCCCAAAAAAGUGGGUUGAGUUUAGCUAUUUGGAUGAUAGAUUUGAGUGACCUUUAAAAUGGCUUUAAAGCAAGUUGAAGAACAAGAGGAACCAAAUUUUGUUUCCCUUAGGGUGGUUAAUUAUGUUCCUAUCUGUACCCGCAAAAAUUAUAUUGUGAUCUUUCCUUAGGAGUUGACAAAGGCAAUUUUGUACAAUAUUGGAUGGUUAUAUUUUUAUGUAAUGUGAUGCUUUUGGUUCUUCAUAAUUUAUUACGAAAUUUCAUAUAAA